Long non-coding RNA from Oncorhynchus tshawytscha (Chinook salmon), 577 nucleotides. Lineage: Eukaryota; Metazoa; Chordata; Actinopteri; Salmoniformes; Salmonidae. The record is from Ensembl.
CAGACUAAGUCCAUCCAGCGUGUGGAUAAACACACUGGCCGCAGCAAGGAGACCGUACUGGCCAACGUAGAGGGCCUCAUGGACAUCAUCGUAGUCUCAGCACAGAGGCAGCGCGACAGAGAGACCACCAGCACUGCAGCCCCCAAUAAGAUCCCCAAAGCCCCCACAGACCCUCAGUAAGGACCCCCACUGAUCAACUGCACAGACAAGAACCUGAGUGUGGAGGGCUGCUUACAAAGCAACGUGGUGACAGCUCCUCAUGGGGAGGGUCUUCAUAUCAGCUAUGUUAUUGGAGGAGCAUUAACCAUUCUUGCCAUCCUGAUAAUCAUCACUGCCUUCAUUAUUUACAGGUAAGACCAAGUCCUCUCUAAAUACUCAAAAUUCCUCUCAUUUGACAUUUACAUUUUAGUCAUUUAGCAGACGCUCUAAUCUAGAGCGAUUUACAGUUAGUACAUUCAUCUUAAAGUAGCUAGGCGAGAGAACCACAUCAGUCAUAGUAAGUAAAAUGUUCCUCAAAGUCAUCAAUAAAGUCAGUGCUAGUAAUAAAAUAAAUGUCUUUAUGUCUAUUCUCCAUCCC